Molecule: non-coding RNA, 275 nt
Organism: Labrus bergylta (ballan wrasse)
Lineage: Eukaryota; Metazoa; Chordata; Actinopteri; Labriformes; Labridae
Source: RefSeq, a predicted model, not a curated record
CCCAGAGCCGUGCAGAGACCAGACUCUGAAGAACUCAGUAUGUCUGACUCACUGAGGAACCGCAGGUUACAACACUGGCUUAAUGAGCCCAACUCGACCUUCUCCCAAUCGAUGAUAGAUGGCGCUGAAGCAGCAGAUGAUGAUAAUGAGUCAGGAUACUCAUCUGUCAGUCAUGAUGACGACCAAUCAUCAAGUUCAUCUGAUCCAUCCCUCCACAGUGAUUGGUCAAAUGGAAAAAUGAUUGCUUUAAAGAAACUAGAAAAAAGUGACCCAAA